UUCCUGAUAAAAUAUUCGACAUUGUUUCCCCUCAUGCAUUUGCUGCUAUUCAGAUAUAUCUAAACAAUUAAAAAAGGCUUCCAAUUCAGUUAAAUCAGUUAAUUAUUACUUAUUUAUAUCUAUAAGCGAUCAAAUAAUUGUUGCUGACAAUUAUUGCACGAAUUGCCAGGAAAUCUUGCUGGAGCUAAUUUCUUUUUAAUUAAAUUUAGCGUGAAAUGGACAGUUACGAUGAUUUCACUUUUUGCCAGGUAUUUACACUGCAUUCAUUUAAUUACUUAUUCGAAUAAUUAAUUUCACUUUCUUGAAAUAAUUUUAAUUACUGGAGUGUUUCUGAGAUUAAAAUAUUUGUUGAAGAAUUUAGGCGGGAUUACCUGUUGAUAAAAAAUGGACUAGAGGCGAAGAAUCUUGCAUUGGAUAUUGGAGGUACAAGUAUCAAAGAUGGGUUUUCAAAUGGCACUAAUAGUAAUCAGGGCGGCGGUGGUAUUGUGUGGAGAGAUAAUUUGCCUAAUGAUGCUGAUUCCAAGAAUGAGAAAACUGUUGGUUCUUCGUUGUUCAAUAUUAUUUGAUGUGCCAGAUCGAGGACAGUCUAGACAAAUCCCAUCUGGAAAUGCUGGAACUUCGACUACUAAAUCCGAAGAAGAAAAGUUUCUGCUAGCAAGCCAGUGGCUCGAGCACAGGCUAAGCUUCUGAUGUGCCGUGAAUGAUUCGAAAAUCGGCAACAAUGAAUCUGACGAAAAUGGAUGAAGGAUGGGUCUGGUUGUGUUGUCUUUCUUUUGGUGUUUAGGCUGGAUUGUAGUGAUUUCAAGGUAAAUAAGAUGGAGGAUAGACUAGAAUGAUACUUUGAUAAGUCGAUCUGGACGCCACAAAGAUCAAUCUAGGAUUUUGACGCCACACUCUUUGUGAUUGAAGAGUGAUAAGUCAGGUAGGGUUCUUCACAAAAUCAAUUUGGAAGAACAACUCUUAAUUCUGUGAAUUAAGUUUCAAAUCU
RNAcentral lists this long non-coding RNA (988 nucleotides) under Populus trichocarpa (black cottonwood). RNAcentral's name for it is "long non-coding RNA (PTRI_LNC002289)". Lineage: Eukaryota; Viridiplantae; Streptophyta; Magnoliopsida; Malpighiales; Salicaceae. The record is from RNAcentral.